Long non-coding RNA from Delphinapterus leucas (beluga whale), 515 nucleotides. RefSeq lists it as uncharacterized. Lineage: Eukaryota; Metazoa; Chordata; Mammalia; Artiodactyla; Monodontidae. The record is from RefSeq and is a predicted model, not a curated record.
AUACUCACAUCAGCGUAGUCUCGAAAUGGAGCUGAUGAGAAAACCAGCAUCUGUGUCGUGGCAACCUACCCAUUCACUCCCAGGGGUUCCCUACCUGGCCACAAGAUGGUCUAAUUGACAUGGAGUGUUUCUACUGUGGGGCACCACAUGAAAUGUUUCUUUUCUUUAACAGCGGAGGCAGAAGAACUCUUUUAAAAGAAGCAAAGCAAAUCUACAGGUUUAAAAGAAUCAAAGUAAAUCUACACUCCCGCCUUCUUGAACAGAUAAUCAAGAGUUGGCUAAGAGUGAUAAUCCCCACCAAGUACAGCCAAGGAAAUAUCACCGCUCUGGAAUCCUGAGUCUUUCCAGAGGUACAAGCCAUCAUGUUCAGAUGCUUCCAGCCUGUCAAGUCCAAUUGAACCUUAGUUGGAUCAACACUUAUACAAGCUGCUCCUCUCUGGGACUUCCCUGGUGGCGCAGUGGUUAAGAAUCCGCCUGCCAAUGCAGGGACACGGGUUUGAGCCCUGGCUCAGGAA